GAACGCAUCUUGCGCCCAGUGGUAUUCCGCUGGGCAUGCCUGUCUGAGUGUCGUUACUUCUCAUACUUGACACUUUUGUGUUAUGUUAUGGAUGGUGGGUGUUUGUAAGGCUUACGCUUUACACACCUCAAAUGUAAUCCGGUUUAUACUUGAUUUUACGGCUUGACCGAAUGUUGUAGAUUGUACACUUCAUUUGGGACGUGAAAAUAAGAUGAGACCUAAACGACAUGUAACUUUCAAUUUUGACCUCAGAUCAGGUAGGAUUACCCGCUGAACUUAAG
RNAcentral lists this unclassified non-coding RNA (281 nucleotides) under uncultured fungus. Its description in RNAcentral is "sequence contains 5.8S rRNA gene". The stretch from base 1 to 53 matches the Rfam family "5.8S ribosomal RNA", at positions 102 to 154 of the family's 154-position model. Lineage: Eukaryota; Fungi. The record is from RNAcentral.